RNAcentral lists this microRNA (24 nucleotides) under Xenoturbella bocki. RNAcentral describes it as "xbo-miR-4907". Lineage: Eukaryota; Metazoa; Xenacoelomorpha; Xenoturbellidae. The record is from miRBase by way of RNAcentral.
UCAGAUAAUGUUUGACCCGUUGCA